This 448-nucleotide ribosomal RNA is filed under the name uncultured bacterium. RNAcentral describes it as "bacterial SSU rRNA". It matches the Rfam family "Bacterial small subunit ribosomal RNA", at positions 64 to 507 of the family's 1533-position model. The record is from RNAcentral.
GAGCGGAUGACGGGAGCUUGCUCCUUGAUUCAGCGGCGGACGGGUGAGUAAUGCCUAGGAAUCUGCCUGGUAGUGGGGGACAACGUUUCGAAAGGAACGCUAAUACCGCAUACGUCCUACGGGAGAAAGCAGGGGACCUUCGGGCCUUGCGCCAUCAGAUGAGCCUAGGUCGGAUUAGCUAGUUGGUGGGGUAAUGGCUCACCAAGGCGACGAUCCGUAACUGGUCUGAGAGGAUGAUCAGUCACACUGGAACUGAGACACGGUCCAGACUCCUACGGGAGGCAGCAGUGGGGAAUAUUGGACAAUGGGCGAAAGCCUGAUCCAGCCAUGCCGCGUGUGUGAAGAAGGUCUUCGGAUUGUAAAGCACUUUAAGUUGGGAGGAAGGGCAGUAAGUUAAUACCUUGCUGUUUUGACGUUACCGACAGAAUAAGCACCGGCUAACUCCGUG